RNAcentral lists this ribosomal RNA (746 nucleotides) under uncultured bacterium. RNAcentral describes it as "bacterial SSU rRNA". It matches the Rfam family "Bacterial small subunit ribosomal RNA", at positions 8 to 798 of the family's 1533-position model. The record is from RNAcentral.
AGAGUUUGAUCAUGGCUCAGAACGAACGCUGGCGGCAGGCUUAACACAUGCAAGUCGAACGCGUGUAGCAAUACACGAGUGGCGCACGGGUGAGUAACGCGUGGAUAUCUGCCUUUUGGUUCGGAAUAACUCCGGGAAACUGGAGCUAAUACCGGAUGGUUCCUACGGGAUAAAGAUUUAUCGCCAAAAGAUGAGUCCGCGUACGAUUAGCUAGUUGGUGGGGUAAUGGCCCACCAAGGCGACGAUCGUUAGCUGGUCUGAGAGGACGAUCAGCCACACUGGGACUGAGACACGGCCCAGACUCCUACGGGAGGCAGCAGUGGGGAAUAUUGGACAAUGGGGGCAACCCUGAUCCAGCCAUGCCGCGUGAGUGAUGAAGGCCUUCGGGUUGUAAAGCUCUUUUGGCGGGGACGAUGAUGACGGUACCCGCAGAAUAAGCCCCGGCUAACUUCGUGCCAGCAGCCGCGGUAAGACGAAGGGGGCUAGCGUUGUUCGGAAUUACUGGGCGUAAAGCGAGUGUAGGUGGUUGUCAUAGUCAGGUGUGAAAGCCUUGAGCUCAACUCAAGAAAUGCACUUGAUACUGGGCGACUAGAGGACCGGAGAGGAUAGUGGAAUUCCCAGUGUAGUGGUGAAAUACGUAGAGAUUGGGAAGAACACCAGUGGCGAAGGCGGCUAUCUGGACGGUUUCUGACACUAAGACUCGAAAGCGUGGGGAGCAAACAGGAUUAGAUACCCCGGUAGUCCAA